ACACUGCUGAGGAGUCCCAUACUAGGACGAAACGGCCUUCCAGUGC
Schistosoma haematobium is the source of this 46-nucleotide non-coding RNA. The record is from Rfam. Lineage: Eukaryota; Metazoa; Platyhelminthes; Trematoda; Strigeidida; Schistosomatidae.